RNAcentral lists this microRNA precursor (76 nucleotides) under Myotis davidii. Its description in RNAcentral is "mir-9229 microRNA precursor family". It matches the Rfam family "mir-9229 microRNA precursor family". Lineage: Eukaryota; Metazoa; Chordata; Mammalia; Chiroptera; Vespertilionidae. The record is from Rfam by way of RNAcentral.
GAGACACACUUAUGGGGCAGGACUUGCUUCAGUGGGGCUUUGGUGCUCACUGAGUCUUCCUCUUGAGUGUAUCACU